GGCGGUUCGGAGAGGAGGCGAGACAGCGGGGCUAGAGAGGCUGUUCUGGCGGCUGCAGGCGUGGCCGGAAGUGCUGGGUCCCGAGCUGGAGCUCGAAACCUCGCGUGCAGGAUUCAGCAAGAAGGCAGCUAUCUGCAAGUCAAGAAGAAAGCCCUACCUGAAACUGAAGCAGCUGGAACCUUGAUCUUGGACUUCUAGCUUCCAGAACGGUUGUUGCUGAUGGCUUUGAGGGCAGAAUGCAAUUCUUAUAAGAAAAUAAGAAACCCGAGGGUACAGGAAGAAUAUUGAUAAAAAAUCAGAGAUAAGCUUGAAGAACACCUUUCGGCAUCUUGUAAGACAGUUCUAAUGGUGAUGAACUCCUUCAUUCCUGAAAAACAACUUUGCCAGAUCAUGUUAAAAAUUCAGACUUAUUUGGAAUCAUAUAACAGAACUCUACUUGA
Molecule: long non-coding RNA, 440 nt
Organism: Globicephala melas (long-finned pilot whale)
Lineage: Eukaryota; Metazoa; Chordata; Mammalia; Artiodactyla; Delphinidae
Source: RefSeq, a predicted model, not a curated record